This is a non-coding RNA of Thamnophis sirtalis, 2083 nucleotides long. Lineage: Eukaryota; Metazoa; Chordata; Lepidosauria; Squamata; Natricidae. The record is from RefSeq and is a predicted model, not a curated record.
CGAAGAAACCGUCCCACCGUCUAAUUUCAGGAGAUACCUGGGAAUCUCCCUUCCCGGAGGGGGGGAGGGGAGAAAGAGGAGGAAGAAGCUUUGACUCCCUUAAUAAAAAUGGCUCUCCCGACUUCCCUUUCCUGCCGCUCUGCGAACAUCACUUCCAGAGCGAGUUGAGGGUGGAGCGCCAACGGGAGAAGCUGGGAAUGGCGCUGGUAAACUGCCGAACUCUGGAAUGGUUCUACUCGCUGAUUCUUCUUGCUAUUGUAUUGCUUUCAUGGGGCUACGUCAUUUACGCAACUCGAAUAGCAGCCAAAUGGCACUUAAAGGAGAUGUAUCCCACACAAGCCCAGAAUAUUUAAGACACCUUCAGAGUGAAAUACCACAGAAAUACAAGCACAUUCUAUAAUUCCAUAAAUAAUAAUCUGCAAAAACUUGCAUUCCAAACUAGAGUGGCUAAGCUGCAGGAGUAUUGAAGCUUCAGAAAUAGAUUUAGUGUUGUAAUACUUAACACUAAUAAUGUAUAAUUGAGAAAAAUUGGGAAAAUAUCCUUGAAUAUCUUAUUUUUUAAAAAGAGAAAUGUACUGUUCAGGCUGGAGCAAAGUAUUGCAGGCAGUCUACAAACCCAGAUUACAGAAUGCAGCAGUCUUCUGAAUGAAUAAAUGAUUCCAGAGCUGAUAUGGAAAGUCAGCCUUAUGAAAGACAUUAAGAAACUGAUCAAGAAGCCAGUUUGGCAGCAGAUCAAGAAGUCAACCUAACAGUAGAUCAGGAACUUCCAGGCGUCCUGAUAGAGGACAUUCUGCAAAGAUAUAUGAGGAAAGGAAAUAUAAAAGGCAAUUACUAGGAGAGGACCCACAGAGUUAACAAAGAAACCUCUUCUGCAAGAGAAAGCAAUGCUCUAAAGACAUCCUUACCAAAGCAUUAGGCCAUUUGUGGAAAAACUGCUAGCAAUGCAGACAGGCUCUCCCAUUAAUAUUGAACAACAUAUAAUAAUGCAUAAUUUAAUGUUUGAUCUAGAAAGCCAGGCAUGUGCUAAUUAAUUACAGCUUUUCUUAUUCCAAAGUAAGGAACACUUCUUAUAUGAGUUUAUCAACUUUGCUAGAUGCCCUUUUACUAUAGAUGCGUAUGAUGAGCAUGAAAAUUAUGACUGUUCAGCUCCAGCAAGUAAAAAGGGAAGCAACUCAGUCUUCUAUUACUACCAUAUCUCCUGAUGAAACUGAAACCCAAAUACCUGAACAUAAUGCUUUCAGGCACCCUGGGAUGAUGAAAUGCCAGGCUCAUCUUAUUCCAAUUUAGAGCAAAUUCAUGCUUCUCCAUCUACUGUUUUAGACACUUCUGCAAGCUGUGAUGAAAACCCUUCUGCAAACAACGGUUGCAGAUGUCACAAGAAGCAAAAAUAGAAAUGAAUGAUGACAGCUGUGAUUUUUUUGACAACUUGUUGACUAUGUAAAACCAUUAUGAAGUAAAGACUCAGUGACGAGGACAGCCAUACAUCUGGAUCCUGAUGGCCAGCAACCCUGUGGCAGGCCCAAGAAAAGGGGGAUGGAUUGCAUCGAAGAGGACAUGAAAUACAUGGGUGUUGCCCCUAAAGAUGCGCUGGAUCGAGCCAAAUGGAGAAGACCCUGCCAUACCGCAGGAGUAGCACUAGAAGAAAGAGCAACCUAUCCAACUGCGCAGCUUUAGUGCCACAGAUGUUAGUAGAUCUGCAUCACCAUUCUCUGUUGGUUCCAGAGAUGGUGCUGUCAAUCAUAAGAACAAUGAAUGUCUCUCCUCAGUGAGAGAAGAAAAUCUAAGAGGAGUGAAAAAGAUGAAGAUAAAUUAAGAGAAGUGUCUUAAAUAAAUAUUUUUUGUUAAAUAUUCUUAGAAAUCUUAUUUUUCCUCUUUGUUACAAGUUUUUGCUUUGUAUGUUAACCAAUAUUUUAGGUGUCUCUGUGCAUUUUGUUUACUUUAUAUAGCUGGAUGAAAAGGCCUUAGUUUUUAUAGUUUUUAAUGUUUUAAUAGUUAUUGUUUACUAUUGUUUCUAACUUUGUUGUAAGGCAUAAGGAAUAAGUCAUUUUAUGAAAUAAAUUAAUUAAAAUAUGACCUUGAAGUC